RNAcentral lists this transfer RNA (97 nucleotides) under Parvimonas micra. RNAcentral describes it as "tRNA-SeC (TCA) (tRNA-SeC-TCA-1-1)". It matches the Rfam family "Selenocysteine transfer RNA". RNAcentral also lists the same sequence under 7 other names. Lineage: Bacteria; Bacillati; Bacillota; Tissierellia; Tissierellales; Peptoniphilaceae. The record is from RNAcentral.
GGGAGUAGAUGAGUUCUGGUGUGCUCUCUGGUCUUCAAAACCAGCAUAAGGAGUUUGUAGCUUCUUAGGUGGGUUCGAUUCCCACAUAUUCCCGCCA